GACGAACGCUGGCGGCGUGCUUAACACAUGCGAGUCGAACGCUGAAGCUCAGCUUUUGUUGGGUGGAUGAGUGGCGAACGGGUGAGUAACACGUGAGUAACCUGCCUCCUUCUUUGGGAUAACGCCCGGAAACGGGUGCUAAUACUGGAUAUUCACUGGUCUUCGCAUGGGGGUUGGUGGAAAGGGUUUUUCUGGUGGGGGAUGGGCUCGCGGCCUAUCAGCUUGUUGGUGGGGUGAUGGCCUACCAAGGCUUUGACGGGUAGCCGGCCUGAGAGGGUGACCGGUCACAUUGGGACUGAGAUACGGCCCAGACUCCUACGGGAGGCAGCAGUGGGGAAUAUUGCACAAUGGGCGCAAGCCUGAUGCAGCGACGCCGCGUGAGGGAUGGAGGCCUUCGGGUUGUGAACCUCUUUCGCUCAUGGUCAAGCCGCAACAAUGGUUGUGGUGAGGGUAGUGGGUAAAGAAGCGCCGGCUAACUACGUG
RNAcentral lists this ribosomal RNA (483 nucleotides) under uncultured bacterium. RNAcentral describes it as "partial 16S ribosomal RNA". It matches the Rfam family "Bacterial small subunit ribosomal RNA", at positions 28 to 507 of the family's 1533-position model. The record is from RNAcentral.